CAGUAGCCGCGGGAAUACGAGGGGGGCAAGCGUUGUUCGGAAUUAUGGGGCGUAAAGGGUGCGUAGGCGGUCUGGCAAGUCUUGUGUGAAAUCUUCGGGCUCAACCCGAAGCCUGCACGAGAAACUGCCGGGCUUGAGUAUUGGAGAGGUGAGUGGAAUUUCCGGUGUAGCGGUGAAAUGCGUAGAUAUCGGAAGGAACACCUGUGGCGAAAGCGGCUCACUGGACAAUAACUGACGCUGAUGCACGAAAGCUAGGGGAGCAAACAGGAUUAGAUACCCCUGUAGUCCCUGUCUCUUAUAC
This 301-nucleotide ribosomal RNA is filed under the name uncultured bacterium. RNAcentral's name for it is "partial 16S ribosomal RNA". It matches the Rfam family "Bacterial small subunit ribosomal RNA", at positions 509 to 807 of the family's 1533-position model. The record is from RNAcentral.